RNAcentral lists this transfer RNA (71 nucleotides) under Loxodonta africana (African savanna elephant). It matches the Rfam family "tRNA". From Rfam's summary of the family: Transfer RNA (tRNA) molecules are approximately 80 nucleotides in length. Their secondary structure includes four short double-helical elements and three loops (D, anti-codon, and T loops). The record is from Rfam by way of RNAcentral. Lineage: Eukaryota; Metazoa; Chordata; Mammalia; Proboscidea; Elephantidae.
GUAUUUGUGUUUCAGUGGUAGAAUUCUCGCCUUCCAUGCAGGAGACCUGGGUUCGAUUCCUGGCCAAUACA